This is a long non-coding RNA of Cercocebus atys (sooty mangabey), 1239 nucleotides long. RefSeq lists it as uncharacterized. NCBI's taxonomy places the organism in Eukaryota, Metazoa, Chordata, Mammalia, Primates, Cercopithecidae. The record is from RefSeq and is a predicted model, not a curated record. The transcript has 3 exons.
UUCUGAAGAGCAAGAGAUUGCCAGACUGCUGAGUCAUUUACUUGAUUAUGACCUAGUGUGCCAGGUCCUGGUGAAUAUACCUCCGACCUCUUCCUGGAGCCAAGCACUUUGAAUAUACUGGCCCACUGCCUUCUGGUCUCAAAAGUUUCAGGUGAGAAAUUUGCUGUUAAUCUUACUCAGAAUACUCUUGUGUGUCAUAAGUCACUUCUCUGUUGCUGCUCUUAAGAGUCUCUCUUUAUGUUUCAAAAACUUAACUAUAACAUGUCUUAGUAUGGGUCUUUUUCAUCUUACUUAGAGUUUGUUAAGCUUGGAUAUUUAUAUUCAUGUCUUUGGUCAAAUUUGGAAAAAUUCCAGUUACUAUUUCUUCAUAUAUUCUCUAUUCUCCUUUCUUUCUCUCUUAUUCUUCUUGGACUCCAACAAUGUGUACAUUGAUCUUGAUGGUGUCCCACAAGUCUUUUUAGGCUCUGUUUACUUUUCUCAAUAUUUUAUUUCUGUGUUCCUCAGACUCAAUAAUUUUCAUUGUCCUAUCUUUAAGUUUACUGAUUCUUUCUUCUUCCUGCUCAAAUGUGACUGUAAAUCACCCUAGUAAAAUUUUCAUUUCAGGUAUUGUAUUUUUGGCUUUAGAAUUUUUUUGUUUCUUUUUAGGUGUUCUAUUUAUUGAUAUUACCAUUUGUUCAUACAUCUUUUACUUGACUUAAUAUCUUUCUUUAGUUUUUUGAACAUCUUUAAAGAGAGUUGUUUUAAAUUCUUUGUCUAGUAGAUCUGCCAUCAGGUCUUUUCUAGGAGCAGUUCCUGUUAAUUUAUUUAUUUUUCCUUUCAACGGGCCAUACUUUCCUGUUUCUUUCUUUGCCUUAUGACUUUUUGUUGAAAACUGGACAUUUGAAUCUAAGAAUGUGAUAACUCUGGAAAUCAGAGUUUCCUCCUUCCUUACGGUUUGGUGGUGGUGUUUUUGUCUUUAAUUUUUUAGGCGACUCUGUGCCAAGCAUCAGCAUGAGGUGUAAACUUCAGGUCUUCUCAGGUGUUUUCUGAGCCUGUUUCUUUCCCUGGGUAUGUGCAGUCACUUUCUAAUUUUCCUUGUAUAUGCAGUUGCUUUUGAGUGUCUUAGUCUUUAAUGUCUGGCUCCCAAAGAAGGAAAGAGAGAAAAGCGAAGGGGGAGGAGGAGUGCGGGCUCUUCAAAUUAUCUGGAAAUCACUUCAGCUGGUGGUGGAGGGGAUUGCAGCGGUGGGGAGAGGUGCAACA